Molecule: ribosomal RNA, 297 nt
Filed under: uncultured bacterium
Lineage: Bacteria
Description: partial 16S ribosomal RNA
Rfam family: Bacterial small subunit ribosomal RNA
Source: RNAcentral
GCCUACGGGAGGCAGCAGUGAGGAAUAUUGGUCAAUGGGCGGGAGCCUGAACCAGCCAAGCCGCGUGAGGGAAGAAGGUACAGCGUAUCGUAAACCUCUUUUGUCAGGGAACAAAGGCGGGGACUAGUCCCCGGAUGAGGGUACCUGAAGAAAAAGCAUCGGCUAACUCCGUGCCAGCAGCCGCGGUAAUACGGAGGAUGCGAGCGUUAUCCGGAUUUAUUGGGUUUAAAGGGUGCGCAGGCGGUCUGUUAAGUCAGCGGUCAAAGCCCGGGGCUCAACCCCGGCCCGCCGUUGAAA